Molecule: ribosomal RNA, 253 nt
Filed under: uncultured bacterium
Lineage: Bacteria
Description: partial 16S ribosomal RNA
Rfam family: Bacterial small subunit ribosomal RNA
Source: RNAcentral
UACAGAGGUGGCAAGCGUUGUUCGGAAUUACUGGGCGUAAAGGGCGCGUAGGCGGUCUUGUAAGUCUUGUGUGAAAUCCCUCGGCUUAACUGAGGAACUGCACGGGAUACUGCGAGACUUGAGAUCGGGAGAGGGAAGCGGAAUUCCGGGUGUAGCGGUGAAAUGCGUAGAUAUCAGGAGGAACACCUGUGGUGUAGACAGCUUACUGGACCAUUUCUGACGCUGAGACACGAAAGCGUGGGUAGCAAACAGG